Molecule: long non-coding RNA, 639 nt
Organism: Epinephelus moara (kelp grouper)
Lineage: Eukaryota; Metazoa; Chordata; Actinopteri; Perciformes; Serranidae
Exons: 3
Source: RefSeq, a predicted model, not a curated record
CACCACAACCUGCAUCUGUCUCGGAGUCAUAAUAGGCAGCUUGUUAUUUGCAAGCUGUCCCGACCCCCGCAGAACUGUCUGCCGAGGCCUCACCAGUUCAAUGGGCCUCUUAUAUCUCUGGAGAGAAACAGCACAGUGCCAAACAAGACUGGCACAGAGAGGGAACAGCGUGGGCACGUGGGAAAAGCAUGGGCAAUACGCGGCUCAUCUCGUGAUCCAAUACAAUAAGUUUUAAAUGGGGAAGCUGGCAGACAGAAAACAAAACCAAGACACGGAACAAGGAAUGAGUACAAGCAGAAACAGCCACAGUGAGAUGUUGAUGAAGAGCUGCAGACAACUGCACCUCUGCAAACAGCCCACCUCCGACAGGCUGCCGGUCCACAUGUGAGCUGAUCCGAAUUCAGCUGAUCACUGAGCCAGACGACUGACUUGGAGGAGGAACACAGGAGCUCAUUCACCACCAGGAUGCUCACAGCGACUUGUGAUUUGGCCUUUAAACAUCUGUUGCACACUGACUGACCUUUGCACUGCAAAGAGAGAGCUGCAGAAUGCUGUGUGUUACUGUUUGGCUGCCAAAAACAUUUUCCCAUUACAGGGUUUUACUGUCAGAAAGGGAAAAAAAAUCCUAGUAGAAGGCAA